UACAGAGGUCUCAAGCGUUGUUCGGAUUCAUUGGGCGUAAAGGGUGUGUAGGUGGCGCGCUAAGUCGGGUGUGAAAUUUCGGAGCUUAACUCCGAAACUGCAUUCGAUACUGGCGUGCUUGAGGACUGGAGAGGAGACUGGAAUUCAUGGUGUAGCAGUGAAAUGCGUAGAGAUCAUGAGGAAGACCAGUGGCGAAGGCGGGUCUCUGGACAGUUCCUGACACUGAGACACGAAGGCCGGGGGAGCAAACGGG
RNAcentral lists this ribosomal RNA (253 nucleotides) under uncultured bacterium. RNAcentral describes it as "partial 16S ribosomal RNA". It matches the Rfam family "Bacterial small subunit ribosomal RNA", at positions 524 to 776 of the family's 1533-position model. The record is from RNAcentral.